RNAcentral lists this transfer RNA (77 nucleotides) under Rickettsiales bacterium. RNAcentral's name for it is "tRNA-Ile". It matches the Rfam family "tRNA". Rfam says of the family: Transfer RNA (tRNA) molecules are approximately 80 nucleotides in length. Their secondary structure includes four short double-helical elements and three loops (D, anti-codon, and T loops). The record is from RNAcentral. Lineage: Bacteria; Pseudomonadati; Pseudomonadota; Alphaproteobacteria; Rickettsiales.
GAGUCCGUAGCUCAGCUGGUUAGAGCGCAUGUCUGAUACACAUGAGGUCAGUAGUUCAAGUCUACUCGGACUCACCA